UUCGGGAGCUUGCACAGGUGCUGCAUGGCUGUCGUCAGCUCGUGUCGUGAGAUGUUCGGUUAAGUCCGCUAACGAGCGCAACCCUCACUGUGUGUUAUAUGUGCCACACGGGACUGCCGGUUUUAAGCCGGAGGAAGGUGGGGAUGACGUCAAGUCAGCAUGGCCUUUAUAUCCUGGGCUACACACACGCUACAAUGGUCGGUACAAUAGGUUGCCAAGCCGCGAGGCGGAGCCAAUCCACAAAGCCGGCCUCAGUUCAGAUUGUAGGCUGCAACUCGCCUGCAUGAAGAUGGAGUUGCUAGUAACCGCAGGUCAGCAAUACUGCGGUGAAUACGUUCCCGGGUCUU
RNAcentral lists this ribosomal RNA (347 nucleotides) under uncultured Anaerolineaceae bacterium. Its description in RNAcentral is "bacterial SSU rRNA". It matches the Rfam family "Bacterial small subunit ribosomal RNA", at positions 1021 to 1382 of the family's 1533-position model. Lineage: Bacteria; Bacillati; Chloroflexota; Anaerolineae; Anaerolineales; Anaerolineaceae. The record is from RNAcentral.